Molecule: ribosomal RNA, 406 nt
Filed under: uncultured bacterium
Lineage: Bacteria
Description: partial 16S ribosomal RNA
Rfam family: Bacterial small subunit ribosomal RNA
Source: RNAcentral
AUUGAACGCUGGCGGCAGGCCUAACACAUGCAAGUCGAGCGAGUGGCGGACGGGUGAGUAAUGUCUGGGAAACUGCCUGAUGGAGGGGGCUAACUACUGGAAACGGUAGCUAAUACCGCAUACCAUCAGAUGUGCCCAGAUGGGAUUAGCUAGUAGGUGUGGUAAAGGCUAACCUAGGCGACGAUCCCUAGCUGGUCUGAGAGGAUGACCAGCCACACUGGAACGGAGACACGGUCCAGACUCCUACGGGAGGCAGCAGUGGGGAAUAUUGCACAAUGGGCGCAAGCCUGAUGCAGCCAUGCCGCGUGUAUGAAGAAGGCCUUCGGGUUGUAAAGCACUUUCAGCGGGGAGGCGUUACCCGCAGAAGAAGCACCGGCUAACUCCGUGCCAGCAGCCGCGGUAAUUC